RNAcentral lists this ribosomal RNA (491 nucleotides) under uncultured bacterium. RNAcentral's name for it is "partial 16S ribosomal RNA". It matches the Rfam family "Bacterial small subunit ribosomal RNA", at positions 28 to 507 of the family's 1533-position model. The record is from RNAcentral.
GAUGAACGCUGGCUACAGGCUUAACACAUGCAAGUCGAGGGGAAACGACGGGGAAGCUUGCUUCCCCGGGCGUCGACCGGCGCACGGGUGAGUAACGCGUAUCCAACCUGCCUCUGACUGAGGGAUAACCCGUCGAAAGUCGGCCUAAUACCUCAUGGCAUCGUCUGCGGGCAUCCAACGACGAUUAAAGAUUUCAUCGGUCAGAGAUGGGGAUGCGUCUGAUUAGCUUGUUGGCGGGGUAACGGCCCACCAAGGCGACGAUCAGUAGGGGUUCUGAGAGGAAGGUCCCCCACAUUGGAACUGAGACACGGUCCAAACUCCUACGGGAGGCAGCAGUGAGGAAUAUUGGUCAAUGGGCGAGAGCCUGAACCAGCCAAGUAGCGUGCAGGAUGACGGCCCUAUGGGUUGUAAACUGCUUUUAGGCGGGGAUAAAGUGAGGGACGUGUCCUUCAUUGCAGGUACCGCAUGAAUAAGGACCGGCUAAUUCCGUG